UGGCUCUCGCAUCGAUGAAGAACGCAGCGAACUGCGAUAAGUAAUGUGAAUUGCAGAAUUCAGUGAAUCAUCGAAUCUUUGAACGCAUCUUGCGCCCCUCGGCAUUCCGAGGGGCAUGCCUGUUUGAGUGUCGCGUUAACCCUCACCCCUCCCUGACAUUCGUGUUGGGGUCGCGGUGGACUUGGACCGUGCUGCAGCAAUGCGGCUCGUCUUUAAAUGCAUCGGCCCGACCCUUGUGUGCCCUCGGCUCGAAAGGUGUGAUAAUGUCAUCGCCGGAAGAGUCUGUGGGACGGUCGCGGCCUCGUCGCCCUUCGCGGGGCAAAAUUUACCUUGCGCUUUGACCUCAAAUCAGGUAGGACUACCCGCUGA
This 369-nucleotide unclassified non-coding RNA is filed under the name uncultured fungus. RNAcentral describes it as "partial contains 5.8S ribosomal RNA and internal transcribed spacer 2". The stretch from base 1 to 133 matches the Rfam family "5.8S ribosomal RNA", at positions 22 to 154 of the family's 154-position model. The record is from RNAcentral. Lineage: Eukaryota; Fungi.